CCUCAAUAACACUGAGGUCCCUGUUCAGUCUGCACAAUCUUCCGUCAUGGAAAGCCUCAUUCUAGAACGGCGGAAGACAGCAGCCCAGGAUAUUGAGCCUGUUCAAGACUGGCUUCCGUAUCUGCAAGACCCGUGUAACCCAAAUCCUUGCCACAGUGAUGCAGUCUGUGUGAAUACGAAAGGGAAAGCAAGCUGCAGCUACCACUGACCUCUCCCGUCAGCCUCGAUUUUCUUCUGAACUCAGUAACACAAGCGAUAAGGACUCAGAGCUACGAUUCCCCCAAGAAGAUCGGGGCCACUCAGUUUUCAGGUGCCCAUCAGCACAAGCCUUCUUCUUUACGGGUGAGAGAUGUCAGUCAAUGCAGGUCCAUGGAAACAUGCUGGGACUGACAGUUAGUGGAAUUGCUGGAACCAUUGUCUUACCCAUCGUCCUCAUUUCCAUGAUGAGUAGAAGAUAAAGAGCUGUAGGGGGAUAAAUCUCAGCCCCGUAGAGUCCAGAAGACAUCAGUGUGCAGUGAAAAAUGUUAAAGUACAACUUGUAAAAGAGCAGUCAGCAUAUGAAUGUGGAAAGCAAAACAAAUCAUCUUCUAACAGUUUCUGCCUUAACAUGCCCGAUUAUCUGGCUGGACCUGACCAUGGGCAAAGGGGAGUUGCAGAUCCAUUUACCUUCUGCAAGCUGCUCCAGCCAGGGGAGUCCCCCACAAAAGUUUUCCAGCUCAAAAAUUGCCCAGGGUUAUAUAAUGAAUGACAAAAAUUCCCAUGAAGAUGAAUAAAAUUGCAGGCCCUGCUUGGUAGUUGAUGUGCAAGAGAGAGAAACAGGAAUGAAGCCACGUUGCUGCUCCUUUCUCAUCUGCAAGAUUGGUGAGAGGAGCUGCCAUCACAUGCAAGCAUGUCUGCCCUCAAGUCCCCCCCUCCCUUCAUUUCUCUUCUCUCCAGACCCCUUCCCCUCUUAAUGCUAUACAAAGCUCCCAUGCAGAGGGACAUCACACGAAAGCAUCCAGGCAAGUCCCAGUGAAGUCCUCUCCUGCCCAUAAUUUGGUGGUGCUGCUCAGCAAGCUGCCCCUACCCUGGAAUUACUUUACCCUCAGCCAGCAGCAGGUAUCAGGGGUCUGUGCCAGACAGUGCCAUCACUGAGAGAGACAAGGACAAGACAAGAUCACAAGGACAUCUCAAGGAUUGGGGCUGUGAGGAAAACACGGGGCGGCGGGGGGGUUCCAGUGGUGGGACACAUUCAUCAGAAGAGGCCUCUGCCCACUCCACCCCUGCACUGGGAACAGUUGCUCGCUGGAGUUGGGGCUGGCAGAGUUUCAUGGCAACAGGCUAGAAGCCUGCUCAAAAUUUGUGACUGCCUCUUAGCUGAGGGCAGCAAGCUUCAGCCCAAGCUGCAGGGCAAAUCACCUUGUUACUUGUUCUAGCACAAGUGCAGGCACUGUCUUUACCACAUCUGGAGUGAAGGGAUGGUGCCAAAUCUGCUUCGGCUAGUGCAACAAUUGAAAAGGUGACAGGAAAGUGAGUCUCAGCAACAAAACAAGACAUUGCAACAACGGGCAAAGGGCAUAAAGGCAUUAAGUGGCUUAGCAGCAACAGAAGAGAAGAGCAAUCCGGAACAGAAAGAAAGAUUUAACCAGCUGAGAAAGCUCUUUCUUAGUGCUAAAGACAUGGAAGCAGGAAGAGACUUGUCAGAAGCCAAACCGAGUCUGGCUUUGCAAAGGAAGGGAAAACAAAGAGCAGUGGGCCUUUUUUCAGCCGUAUUCAUGAAAAGAGAAUACGGGCCAAUGAAGACAUGCAGCAAUGAGCACAGGGGUAAGACAGAGAGAAGCUCACCCAAGUGCACCAAAGUUUCCCUGUGUUUUGGCGAGGAGCAUGGGCAGGAAGGCAGGGUGGCUAUGAAUAUAAUGGUGUGGGAAUGGAAAUUGCUCUGUCUGAAAUGGAAGUGAAAUCUGGUAAUGGGACUGAACGAAGACCAAGGACUAGA
This is a long non-coding RNA of Dromaius novaehollandiae (emu), 1975 nucleotides long. RefSeq lists it as uncharacterized. The record is from RefSeq and is a predicted model, not a curated record. The transcript is spliced from 2 exons. Lineage: Eukaryota; Metazoa; Chordata; Aves; Casuariiformes; Dromaiidae.